This 439-nucleotide ribosomal RNA is filed under the name uncultured bacterium. RNAcentral describes it as "partial 16S ribosomal RNA". It matches the Rfam family "Bacterial small subunit ribosomal RNA", at positions 339 to 795 of the family's 1533-position model. The record is from RNAcentral.
CUACGGGGCGCUGCAGUGGGGAAUAUUGGACAAUGGGGGAAACCCUGAUCCAGCAAUGCCGCGUGAGCGAUGAAGGCCUUAGGGUUGUAAAGCUCUUUUACCCGAGAUGAUAAUGACAGUAUCGGGAGAAUAAGCCCCGGCUAACUCCGUGCCAGCAGCCGCGGUAAUACGGAGGGGGCUAGCGUUGUUCGGAAUUACUGGGCGUAAAGCGCACGUAGGCGGCGAUCUAAGUCAGAGGUGAAAGCCUGGAGCUCAACUCCAGAACUGCCUUUGAGACUGGAUUGCUAGAAUCUGGGAGAGGUGAGUGGAAUUCCGAGUGUAGAGGUGAAAUUCGUAGAUAUUCGGAAGAACACCAGUGGCGAAGGCGGCUCACUGGACCAGUAUUGACGCUGAGGUGCGAAAGCGUGGGGAGCAAACAGGAUUAGAUACCCCGGUAGUC